UAAGGUUAAUAGACCACAUGAUAUUCUUUACAUAGGAAAUUGUUUGUAGAAAUUUAGAUUUGCCACAAGUUGCCCCAUAAAACAACACAAUCGUGACAAAUCACAAUGACAAAACUCAUCUCCAAAACUACAUAGUGGAGACGUGGUGUCAAUGAUUCUUAUGGAUCUUAAAUUUUUUAGAUAAGGUUAGGUGAAAAAGCAGGAGUCUGAUUUUUUAGAUAAGGCUAGGUGAAAAAGUGGGAGUGAGAUCAUAAUGUGGAUCAAGAUUGAUGAUGUAGUG
Molecule: long non-coding RNA, 280 nt
Filed under: Lathyrus oleraceus (garden pea)
Lineage: Eukaryota; Viridiplantae; Streptophyta; Magnoliopsida; Fabales; Fabaceae
Description: Pisum sativum (pea) long non-coding RNA (PSAT_LNC015674)
Source: RNAcentral